AUGCUGGUUUGUGAUUUUAUUUAUUUAUUUAUUUAUUUAUUUGUGAGAUGUAAAUGCCCCCUGCAAAAAGCAAAGUGCUCACUGUGCACCACGGGGCCGUGUCCCCAGGGCUGGGGGGAGGGCUUGCAGGACUGCACCCCUGGAAAAAGGGGGGUCAGUACAAGCCGACCCCUCCUUCAAGACCCUCCAUCCCCAGGGCUUUCUUUCCCCUUCUGCCUUUCAGAUCCCACCUGUGCCAUGUCCCCACGGCGCUGUGCCGGUGUCCCAGCAGCCGGUGGUGAUCCUCCAGCAGCUUCCUGGGACCCUCGCCCAGCCCACCAGAGCCCCACACCUGCGGGAAGAUUUAAUCGAGUUGAUGAUGAUUCAAAACUCCCAAAUGUACCAGGUGGUGAUGAACAGUCUGGCUGUGUCGGCAUUGACGUCCUUCGGGUUCGGACCAUCUCCAGCUGCUGCCCAGCCACUCAUGGUGCCUUUGCAGACCGGAGAGGAAGAGGAGGCCAUGGUUUUCCACCACCACUACGUCCCCUACGCCGGUCCCACUCCCAUCUUGGCAUGGCCAGUCCCGGCUGGGGCUGGGGGACCGGUGGUCAUGCGCUACCAGGACACGGCAGCGGAGGACGGGGAGCCCGCAGUGCCACCUCCUCCACCCCCCAGUGCCACAGGGACCGUAGGAGCCAAUGUCCCACCAUCAUCAGAGUACUACGACAUGCUGGAGCAGCGGCAGUGAGCUCCCUGCACCCUGAGGUGGCUUCUCCUGCACGUCCCUGGCCUCCACCCCAGAAGAUCUUGUGUGUGCCGAGAGUGGGUGCCCUAUGGUACUGACAGUUUUGGGGUGGCCCACAGGGAGGAGGACAACGUGCCCAGCAAAAUGCAUCAAAAUAGUACAUUUAGCUGGGCAUGUUGUCCUCCUCCCUGUGAGCCACCCCAAGGCACUGGGUGUCACGAAGCCCAUCACCAAACCCAGGUGACUGCAUAAGAGGGACAAGCUCCAGUUCAGUGGUGACAUCCCAGUCCCAGCUGAACAAUGUGUCCUUGCCAAGCCACGAGGGCCCUGCGGUGCUCGGCACCAUGCUGUGUCCCCAUGGGACAUGCUGGCAUCCGCGGGGUGGGGUUGUGCCAGCCCAGGUGUCCCUUCAGCUCCCAAUGCAGCACAUUGCCUGUAAUUAAUUUGCUUUGUUAAGAAAGCGCCCUGCUGUCACUAAUUAAGCAUCUGUAAUUACCCAGGCUUCUGGCUCUGUGCCUGAGCAUAGGGCUUCCUCCAAGCAGCAGGGGUGAGGGGGGGCUGUGAGCCUCUUGCACCCAAAGGAGGGGGAAUACCAGUGCCUGAUGCUCUUGGCCGAGCAUAGCACGGGCAGGGCUGGAUAUGGCCAAGUGCUGUUCCCACAACGGGAACACACAGUUCCACAGCUCCCACACUGUUCCACACAGUGCUGGCCCAGUGCUCAUCCCAGUAAGGGAUCCAUCCUCUAGAGGGCUCCUGGCUGAGUGAGUGUGGGGUUCCCCAGGGCUUGGUUUCCUCCCUGUUUGGGUAAAAAGGUGGGGGGAGUGUGUGCAGGCGUAUUAUGGGUGCUGGGAGCUGGUCUCUGCCUCUGCCACCUCCCCAUCCCUGCUGCAGGGUUCACAGCUCUGCUCUGAUGCCACCAGGGUGGGUGGGCUGGUGGGGCUAUGGGGUUCUGAUGAGGGCUGUGGAGUUCCAUGCAGCCAGCAGCAUUACAGCCUGGUUAUCAGGAGGCUCUGCUUUAGGAGCUCCUAGUAGGAGACUAGGGCUGGGGGUUAAGUGGAGCUGAGAGCACGCAGAAAGAUGGUGUCCAGGCAGUUCACC
This 1822-nucleotide long non-coding RNA is filed under the name Anser cygnoides (Swan goose). RNAcentral's name for it is "lncRNA (ENSACDG00005012653.1)". Lineage: Eukaryota; Metazoa; Chordata; Aves; Anseriformes; Anatidae. The record is from RNAcentral.